UCCAGACUCCUACGGGAGGCAGCAGUGGGGGAUAUUGCACAAUGGGGGGAACCCUGAUGCAGCGACGCCGCGUGAGUGAAGGAGCGUUUCGGCGCGUAAAGCCCUAUCGGCAGGGAAGAAGGAGGACGGUACCUGACUAAGAAGCCCCGGCUAACUACGUGCCAGCAGCCGCGGUAAUACGUAGGGGGCAAGCGUUAUCCGGAUUUACUGGGUGUAAAGGGGGCGCAGACGGCAGCGCAAGCCAGGAGUGAAAGCCCGGGGCCCAACCCCGGGACUGCUCUUGGAACUGCGCGGCUGGAGUGCAGGAGGGGCAGGCGGAAUUCCUGGUGUAGCGGUGAAAUGCGUAGAUAUCAGGAGGAACACCGGUGGCGAAGGCGGCCUGCUGGACUGCGACUGACGUUGGGGCCCGAAAGCGUGGGGAGCAAACAGGAUUAGAUACCCUAGUAC
RNAcentral lists this ribosomal RNA (447 nucleotides) under uncultured bacterium. RNAcentral describes it as "bacterial SSU rRNA". It matches the Rfam family "Bacterial small subunit ribosomal RNA", at positions 330 to 793 of the family's 1533-position model. The record is from RNAcentral.